GCCCCCGUCGUCUAAUGGCAGGACUUUUGGUUUUCAGCCAAACAACGCCGGUUCGAUUCCGGUCGGGGGUU
Molecule: transfer RNA, 71 nt
Filed under: Candidatus Berkelbacteria bacterium
Lineage: Bacteria; Candidatus Berkelbacteria
Description: tRNA-Glu
Rfam family: tRNA
About the family: Transfer RNA (tRNA) molecules are approximately 80 nucleotides in length. Their secondary structure includes four short double-helical elements and three loops (D, anti-codon, and T loops). Further hydrogen bonds mediate the characteristic L-shaped molecular structure. tRNAs have two regions of fundamental functional importance: the anti-codon, which is responsible for specific mRNA codon recognition, and the 3' end, to which the tRNAs corresponding amino acid is attached (by aminoacyl-tRNA synthetases). tRNAs cope with the degeneracy of the genetic code in two manners: having more than one tRNA (with a specific anti-codon) for a particular amino acid; and 'wobble' base-pairing, i.e. permitting non-standard base-pairing at the 3rd anti-codon position.
Source: RNAcentral